GCCAAGUCGUGAGGCGGAGCUAAUCCCUUAAAGCCAUUCUCAGUUCGGAUUGUAGGCUGAAACUCGCCUACAUGAAGCUGGAGUUACUAGUAAUCGCAGAUCAGAAUGCUGCGGUGAAUGCGUUCCCGGGUCUUGUACACACCGCCCGUCACACCACGGAAGUUGGGGGCGCCCGAAGCCACUUAGCUAACCCUUUUGGGAAGCGACGUGUCGAAGGUGAAAUCAAUCGACGUGGGGUGAAGUCGUAACAAGGUAGC
This 257-nucleotide ribosomal RNA is filed under the name uncultured bacterium. RNAcentral describes it as "partial 16S ribosomal RNA". It matches the Rfam family "Bacterial small subunit ribosomal RNA", at positions 1249 to 1500 of the family's 1533-position model. The record is from RNAcentral.